Molecule: long non-coding RNA, 14222 nt
Organism: Gorilla gorilla gorilla (western lowland gorilla)
Lineage: Eukaryota; Metazoa; Chordata; Mammalia; Primates; Hominidae
Exons: 3
Source: RefSeq, a predicted model, not a curated record
CGGUCUGGUUUGCCUCCCAGCUCUGCUAGCCGGGCUUUAGUAGUGCGCUUUCUCGCGGCUGUCAUAAGUACCACGCUGUUGACUGGGACACCGAUCUCCAAUUCUGUCCUUGAGGCAAUAAAGAUGUGGCGAAGGCCCAAGGUGAGGCCACUGCCGCUGCACUUAGUCCUGCGACUCCCCUAAGGACGGGCCGAGGAAUGGCGGGCUAGCCACUUCCCAGUCCUGUCCCUACGGGGCAGAAAAAGGCUCGGCAUCCCGGGAUCCGGAGGGUCACUUCCCUCGCUGCAUCCCCAUUGUGCAACUGCCAGUCUAAAAAUUGAUAUAGGUAAGCUUAUGAAUGCUAAAACUAAUGAAUGCAAGAUGCUAAAGCAAACAAUUAACUGAAAGGUUGUUGGGAAGAGGAUGUUAGUAUCUCAAAGAAUCACCCUACAGAUCAUUUCUUAUUAUAAAGGGAAAAUAGAAUUUUACACUGAAGAGAUUUAUUAGACAUACCUUAACCAAGUGAAGAUACUUAACAUCGCUAAUAUCACCCGAUAGUAUUUGUGCUAGAAAUGUUUGACAUUAAUCAUGAGGAAACAAUCAGAAAAAAACAAUGUAGAAUAUUCUACAAGACAACAGGCCUAGGCUCUUCAAAAAUGUCAGUGUCAUGACAGGAAAAAGAAAAAAACGAAGUGGAAAAUUGCUUUAGUCGAGAGUCAAAAGAAACCAAAUGAAAUUUGUGAAUCUUGGCUGGUUCAUAGUUUUUAAAAAAAAAAAAAAACUUCGAAAGACAUUUGUGGACAACUGGGGAAAUUUAAAUAUGAACUACAUAUUAGAUGAUAUUGAAUCAGUUUUAAAUUGAUUGCAUGUGAGAAUUAAUUUGUGAUUAAGUGGAAGAAUGCCUUUGUUUUUGGAAGGCGCUUGCUAAAGUAAUUAGCAGCAAAGUGUCACGGUGUUUGCGGCUUACCUUCAAAAGAUAUGGCAAAAAAAUAGAGAAAGCAAAUGUGGCAAAAUAUUAGUAAUUGGUGAAUCUAGUUGAAGGGUAUAAUGGUGUACAUCGUACCAGUCUUGCAACUUUCUAAAAUAACAGAUUUUCUAAAAUAAAAAGAGGAGGGGGGAAAAGGAAUUGAAUUCUAAUCUUUACCAUGGCCUCCCAGGUCCUGCACAAUCAAGUGUCAGCCGACCUCACUCCCCACUAAGUGUACAGUAAGUUGAUCUGCUCUGGAUACCUCAAACACCAACUUCUUUCCAGCAUGUAUGAACCUUUGCAUGGGUUGUUCCCUGUACCUGAAUUCUCUCUUCCCCAUUCAACACGUGGCACUUCCCUUCAUCAUUUAGGUUACGUCUAAAAUAGUACCUUCUUAAAGAAGACUUUCCUGGCUACUGUAUCUCAAGUUAAUCUCCUGGAGAAACUAGAGGCAGCCAGGGAGGAUGCUGUUGAACCAGUUAGGAAGCUGUUGCAAGAGAUCCCAGGAAAAGAUAAUGAUAAUGUGGACUUGGAAGAUGGCAGAGGAGUUGCAGAAAAGUAUCCAGAUUUUAAAGAGAGACUGGAAUUUGAAUCUGGGUGAUCCGGCUUCAGAGUCUGUGCAUUCUUUGGCCUCUCAAAGUUUGGAUCCAACACCCCUGGAAUUCUCUUAAGAAAAUACUAAGUGCUUAACUCCACCUGCAAAGCCAUCUCUAGAAGCAAGACUGAAGCAGCUGACUUUUCAACCCCAAAAUAAUACUUUUGAGUAUGUAUUAAUUGCAAAGGUUUAAAUAACAGGUUCAACAAAAAUUUAUCAGCCACCCACUAAGUGACAGAUGUCUCUACCCUUGAGAGGCCCUUAAGAGGCCUUCAUCUAAAGUAGCCCUUCUCAACCUGGGAUUUCAAGAGACAAUUAAUCCCUAAUGCCUUUAGGCACCCAUUGUAUAUAAUGUAUUAACUUCUUUCAUAUACAUCUAGAUUGGCACUGGUUCUACACCAUCCUGAAAAUAAUUUUUUUAUCUCCUGUGGUUCAUAUGGGGAAAUCCAUAUGCAAAGUAUUUCAAAACAUGACAAAUGUUGUAAUAGAAAUGAACAAGGAAUAAUGGGAGCAGAGUGAGCAUAGCUUAAAAGUAAUGGCUGUGAAGUCAGACUUGAGAUUGAGUAUAAGCCCAGCCACUUAUAGGGCUCAUAAAAUUGUUGUAAGGAUUAAAAUAGCAUAUGUAAGUUAUUUAGUAUAAUCCUGGCACAUAGUAGGUUUCAUAAUGGUAGGAAUAUUUAUUAAAUCUGUUUAUUAAGUCAUUAGAAUGCAAACUCGUUACUAUCUUGGUCCUCUAUAGCCCCAACAUCUAAAACCGUACCUUGCACAAAAACAAGUACUCAAUAAAUACUUUUUGAUGUAAUAAGGGAUGUCUACUAGGGAAGAUUUCGUAAUGUAGCAUGUAGGCUGAAGAAAAUGAUUGGGAUUUGCCAGUGAAUUACAGGAGGAGGCCAUUCCAGGCCAUGGAAGGCUGUGAGACAAUGAUAAAAAGAACAAGAGUUCACAAAAGAUUCCAAAAACUAAAUACCUACUUCAGCAUGACUGUGAACAUUAGCUGAAGUGGAUAAUGGCAGGAGAUGAGAAAAGUAGGCAGAGGCUAGAUCAUAAAGGGCCCUAUAUGACAUGCUAAAGAAGAGCUAGAAUUAUAUUCUGUAAGGCCUAGGUUUUGCUCAGCAGAGGUAUGGAAGGAAGAGUGUAGGAAGAGAAGAAAGAAAAGGAUUGAGUCUUAUGUCUAUAAUACCAAAAUCUUAACAAAGUGCAAAUCAAGAAAUGAGACAACAGGAUGUAGAAGUUUAAGCAUAUUAUUUCAGUGUGCAAAGGUAACCAGUACAGGAAAAAAUAUAUGUAACUAGAGCUAAGUGCUUGUCUGUCUUUGUAGGAAGUAAAUAGAUAUCUAUAAUUGAUACAUGAAGAAAUAAUAUUAGGAAGAGCAUAUCAUUUAAAGAUAUAGUAUUUAUAGUAUUUGGUAUAGUAAUUGCCAAAAAUACUAAAAACACAUUAUAAGAAUAGUUGCCCCUGGAAAGCAGGCCUGGAGAUGUGAAAGGGUGAGAUUUUUUUAUUAUAAGAUCUUUUUGAAUUUGUAAUAAACAUUUUUUAAAAUUUAAUGUGUCCUAGCUGGGCUUGGUGGCUCCUGCCUGUAAUCCCGGUGUUUUGGGUGGCUGAGGUGGUACGAUUGCUUGAGCCCAGGAGUUCAAGACCAGCCUGGAAAACAUGGUGAAGCCACGUCUCUACCAAAAAUACAAAAGUUAGCCAGGUGUAGUGGUGUGCACCUGUAGUCCCAGCUCCUUGGGAGGGUGAGGUGGGAGGAUGGUUUGAGCCUGGGAGGCGAAGGUUGCAGUGAGCCAAGAUCAUGCCAUUGCACUCCACCCUGGGCAACAUAGCCAGAGCCUGUCUCAAAAAAAAAACAAAAAACAAGAAAAUUUAAUGUGUCAGAAAAAAAAGCAUUUCUUUGUUAAUCAUUUACUGUGUAUUAGGCUAUGAGAUCCCAUUACCUCCUUAGUGAAGGAAUCUGACAUAUUUUUCUGGUUUGUAGUUUGCAUGUACAAAGUUUUUCCAAAUGUAAGCUGUCGUGGUGAUUUUUCUUCAGAGUCAACUUGACUAGCUUUAGCCUCAGGAAAAAGGCAGUUGGAAAAAAAAAAAGGGUUAGCUGUAAAACAGCCUUAAACAGGUCCUUUAGGAGUUAUUCCAGAAGAAGGCAUUGUUAUCAUAGAAGAAGAUAGUUUCAAGUGUGUUAUUACCCCUGAAAACAUUCCAGUAGAACAAAAUGUGAAUGUGGAAGAUGGUGAUAUUGAUGAUCCUAACCCUGUGUAGGCCUAGGCCAAUGUGUGUACAUCUUAGUUUUUAACAAAAAAGUUUAAAAAAAAAUAAAAAAAAUUUAAAAUAAAAAAAAGUUCAUAGAAUAAGGAUAUAAGGGAGGAAAAUAUUUUACCCAGCUGUACAGUGUGUUUGUAUUUUAAACUAAGUGUUAUUACAGAGUCAAAAAGUUAAAAGUAAAAGAAAUAUAAAAGUUUAUAGAGUAAAAUUAUAUAUAUUAUUAUAUAUAAAAUAUAUAAUAUAAUAUAUAAUGUAUUCUCAAUAUUAUACAUUUCUCAUAUUUACUAGAAUUUUUUUUCUUUCCAACUUGUAUUUUAGGCUCAAGGGGUAAAUGUGCAGAUUUCUUACAUGAGUAAAUUGCGUGUCACAGGUGUUGUACAGAUAAUUUUGUCACCCAGGUAUUCCACGUAAUACCCAAUUAUUUACUAGAAUUGAAACACUUCUGAAUUAUACUAGCUGUUAAUGAAAAAGAGUCAAAUUCUGGAAAAUAUUUGAGGGGAUUUAUUAUGAGCUAAAUAUGAGUGACCAAGGCCUGAGGCACAGUCUCAAGAGGUCCUGAGAACAUGUGCACAAGGUGGUUGGGUUACAACUUGAUUUUACACAUUUUUGAGGGGCAGAAGUUACAGGCAGACAUCAAUACAUGUAAGGUGUCCAUUAGUUCAGUCUGAAAAGGCAGAACAACUCGAAUUGGGGGUGGGCAGUGCAGGGAGACUUCCAGGUCAUAGGUGGAUUCAAAGGGUUUCUAAUUGGCAAUAGGUUGAAAGAGAUAAGUUAUUAUCUAAAGACCUGGAAUCAAUGGAAAGGAAUGUCUGUGUUAAAAUAAGGGGUUGCGGAGACCAAGGUUCUUAUUAUGCAGAUGAAGCCUCCAAGUAGCAGGCUUCAGAGAGAAUAGAUGGCAAAUGUCUCUUAUCAGACCUGAAAAGGUAUUAUGUAAGACCUUUAGUUAGUCUCUCCUGGAUCAGGAAAAGAUCUGGAAAAGAAAAAGGAUUAUCUAUAGAAUCCUUUUCCCCACAGGAGACAGCUUUGCAGAGCCAUUUCAAAAUAUGUCAAAGAAAUAUAUUUUGGGGUAAAAUACUUCAGUUUCUUUCAGGGCCUGCUGUCAUGUGAUGCUGUGCAGGAGUCAGGUUAGAGUUUGGUAUCUUAUUGCUACAAAGUGUCUGUUUUGCCAGUCUUAAGAUCUCUGUUUUAUUGUUAACGCUGAUCACUUGUGCCUGAAUUCCAAAGGGAGGAGGGUACAAUGAGAUAUGCCCAACCACCGCCCUUCCCAUCAUGGCCCGAACUAGUUUUUCAGGUUUACUUUGGAAUGCCCUUGGCCAAGAGAGGGGUCCAUUCAGUCAGUUGGGGGGGGUUAGAAUUUUGUCUUACAGAACUGUGCUUUACUCAUUUUUAUAACAGUCCAGCCAAAAGUCUGCUCUUAAACCCAAUAGAAAAAGAAAGAAAGACUUAGGAGUGAAUCAGUAAACUUCAGGCAUUUGUAGCAGUUCAUAUUAGACAUUUGAGGAAGAUCUAAACAAAUCUGGGGAAGAUGAGAAUGAGGAAGAAAAGCUGGCCUUCCAAUAGGAACUUAUAAAAGAGUACAUGAAAUAAGGCUCAAACCACAGAAGCUUAAAAGUCAUGAAAAAUGCUAAUGAAUUCUUUCUAAAUUCUAAAUUAAAAGAAACAUUUUAUUAGAGUGUCUAAAAUGUGUUUUAAUUCUGAACUUGAUUAACAAUUCUGAGUCACAGUUGGGAUGUACAAUUUUCAGAACAGUUUAGAAACAAGCAAACAAAAAAGCCUUUUAAAUGAGUGGAUAUUUAGGGAAAACUUGUGGGAGUGUUUGGGACAUUUGCAGUGAGCUCUUUCAUUUUUCCUGAUUGCUCAUUGUGAAGCAGUAAGUAACAGGCAGUAAGUACCAAACAGAUCAUUUGGUACAAAAAGAAAAAUCUGUAUUCAAUAACUAUAAAUUUAGGAACUCUAACCUCUUGCCACAGCAUCUCCAUGUUAUUCAGCAUUGGGGCUCAACCACCAACUGUGUCAAUCAAAUAAGAGUAUCAGGUUCCUGUGCUAAAAAUAUUCCAGCUCAAAUCAUCUUGGCAGACGAUACCAGAAAAAACAAACAUUUUUCUGUCUAUUAAAGUGACCAAAUGUUAGGAGACUAAAUAUAAGCAGAAAAGACAAGUAAUAGCUGCAUAACCUUGAGCAAGAUACUGACUGAGCCUCAGUCUUUUCAUCAUUAAAAUGAUAUUUUUAAUGCAGGUCUACAGUCUUUACUCUGCAAUUCCAAAACAGGACAAAAAACAAAACACUGUGAAACCCAAAGUGUUUUUGUAAGUUUGGCACCAGGAUUAUAUGCCAAAGAAAACCUACUGUGAACAAAUAUGAAGCCUCUGUUGUCUCAGCACUUGUAUCCGUAAGUCACACAUGCCUCUGCUAUUUGCUGAUAUUUUCUGACUUGGGGAUUAAUUCCAUGGAAAAUGUCGAAAAGGGCUAAAGAUAUACCUAUGGGUAACAGUGAGAAGAAGAAAAGGAAGCAUCUGUCUUUAUCAAUAUCUCAGAAAGUGGAGUUAUUGCAGAAACUUGAUGGUGGUAUGUCUGUGAGGUGUCUUACUGAAGAAUAUGGUAUGGGAACCACCACGAUAUAUGACUUAAAGAAACAGACAAGUUGUUGAAAUUUUAUAGUGACAGCGAUAACCAGGAACUAAUGAAAAAUAGAAAAACAUUGCAUAGAGCCAAAAAUGAAGACCUUGACCCUGUGUUGAUUGAAUGGGUUCGACAACAAAGAAGUAAAGAUACACCACUGACUGGUUUGUUGGUCGUGAAACAAGCUAGAAUAUACCAUGAAGAACUGAACUUUGAAGGAGAGUGUGAAUAUUCAGGAGUCUGGCUGCAGAAAUUUAAAAAGUGUCUUGGAAUCAAGUAUCUUCAAAUCUGUGGUGAAAAAGCUUCUCCUGAUGAUGAAGCUACUGAAAAUUACAUUGAUGAAUUUGCUAAGGUAAUAUCUGAUGAAAAUCUUAGCCCUGAACAAAUUUACAGUGCUGAUGAAACAGCUUUGUACUGGUGCUAUGUUCCUAGAAAAACUUUAACAAUGGCUAACAAAAGAGCAACAACAGAUGUCAAAGAUACCAAGCAAAAGUUAACUGUUCUUGAGUGUGCUAAUGCUGCAGGCACACACAAGAUAAAAUUGGCAGUGAUUGGAAAUAGCCUAUAUCCAAGGUGUUUAAAAGGUGUGCAUAAUUUACCUGUACAUUAUUAUGCACACAAGAAAGCAUCAGUAACGGGAAAUCUUUUCCAACUGGUUUGAUAGGCACUUUGUGCCAGCAGCAUGAGCUCAUUGCAAACUGGACUGGAAGACAAUUGCAAAAUUUUGUUGUUUCUAGAUAACUGUUCUGCACAACCCCCUCCUGAACAUCUUGCGAAGAGCAAUGCUUUUGGCAUUGACUUUCCCCCCAGUGUGACGUCUGUAAUACAACCUUGUGACCAAGGAAUUCUACACGCCGUGAAGAGCAAGUAUAAACAGUUUUUUGAAAAGCAUCCUUGCUUCAGUUAACAGAGGCCUGAAAAUCCAGGACAUCCUUAAAGAAUUUAAUCUUAAGGAUGCCAUCUUCACAGUUGCUAAUGCUUGGAACGACGUUGAUAAGUCAACAUUAACAAAUGCUUGGCACAGACUUUGGGCUACAAUUAUGUUUGAAAGUGACCUAGCUGAUGAAGAUUUUGAAAGAUUUCAUGACUCUAAUGAGAAAACAAUGGUAGCAUAAUUCAUUACCUAUGCCAAAAGUUUAUCAGCCAAAAGUGUAAAUAAGUUAGAAGAAGCUAACGUUGAAGAAAGGGUUAACAUUGAUAAUGAUGAACCCAUUGUGCAUCCUAAGAGUGAUGGGGAAAUUGCUGAGAUGGUGUUAAAUGCAGAUCAAUAUGAAGAUGGUAGUAGUAAUGAUGAUGACAUUAUGAAUUUGGGUGAAAAAAAUCUCCAUAGAUCAUAUGGUGAAAAUGUGUGACCAAUUAAUUGCUGGCCUUGAACGAUGUACAUUCAUCAGUGAGCAAGAGCUGAUGACAAUUUACUCAAUUAAAGAGAAACUGCUUAGACAGAAACCUGUGUUAAGGAAGCAGGUGAAACUGGGAAAAGUCUUUAAUAAAGCUCUCUGUGGUAAUGCCGCUUCAUCUCUUGACAAUCCUGUUUCUGGCUCAUCAGAUGUCCAGCUCCAACCUGGUUUCAUAGGCAGUGGUAAUACUGGAACAACCUCUUCUCCAAGAUUCUCAGGCAAUCAAAGGUAAUGAACAUUCAUUGCAUGUAUAUGUGUUAUGGGUUAGUUUUCAUCAGUAUAAGUUUUAAAUUUUACUUAAAAUUUCCUUAGAAAUAAGAAGCUUUUUCACAAGUGACAAAACACAUUAAAAGCUUAUGGUAUGUGUGGUCUAUAUUUAUCUUCCUAUUUCAUUUACCAAUAAACGUAUUUAUUUAAAAAUGUUAUUUACCAAUGAAUUUACUAAUAUAUUUUUGUAAAUAAAUUGUAAUAUUAUUUAUGGUUUUGUUUCACUUAGUGUGAAUUUUCACACAUUUAUUCGCAGAAAUAGUAAGAUUAAUGUGUUUCAUUACAUAGUACUGUCGUGUACCCAUUUGGAAUGUUACAAAAUGUAUGCAAUUUAUGUAGUAUAUUCCAAAGGAUUCCAAUUUCAUCCUGAAUUCCAAAAAAUUCUCAUUUCCAAAACACAUUUGGUCCCCAGAGUUUUAGAUAAGAGAUUAUAGACCUGUGAUUCUUUUUUGUUGUGAAUGAUCCAGUGAAAUGAUCAAUGUAAAAUGUCUCGCACAAAGUAAAUGCCCAUUAAGUGUAGUUGCUAUUAUUAAUAUUGCGUUACUCUACUUUAAAAAUGUAAGACAAGCUUUUUCUGACAUUGAAGUUAGCAAUAGCAUAGGUAAUGAUAUGCAUUCUUCAAGUUUUAUUACUCUAAGAGAUGCUUUGGCAAUGUGCUGCUGAUAAAGUGUAUUAGAGUAUCUCCUAAAUCUUCAUCCAAGAAUGGAAACAUUUUGCAAAUCAGAGGAUAGAAAAUGUUAUGCUACAUCAAAUUAAAUUGCAUGUUGAUAAAAUAUGAACACAUCUAGUUAGCCCUUAUUAAUCAAAGAAAUAUAAUAUUUUUAUCUGCUGCUAACUAUCCCCUCAGCUCCGUGUGCCAUAAGCACCACACAAACAAUAAUUUAAUCUCCCUUGUGAGCAAAGAUUGAUUUUUAACCCUCUUCAUAUAAUUUCAGCUAAUAUUAUAAGACCUUGAACAUAGCUGAAUACAUAAAAUUGGUAUUCUGUUUUGUAAGGAAAGCUGUUAUUAGCCUGAUGAAUGUGAAUUGAUUCCUGUGGCCUUGUCUUCUUUGUUUUGUUUUUUUGUAAUGUUUGUUCAUUUAAAAUAUAAGAUGUGUUGCUUUUCUCUCAUUAUAAAAGGCAUACAUCAUUCUUGUAGAAAACAUGGAAAAUACAAUUUAUAAAGAAGAAAAUAAACUCAUCCCUAAUGUGACAACCAGUGAUACAAUCACUCUUAACAUUUGUUUACUUUCAAAGCUAUCUAUUGCAUUAAAGUGUAAGCCUUAUGGGGGCAGAAACCAUGUCCAUUCAUUCCUGUUCUCCACCCUGGCCUUGCUAUCUUACCGUAGUAGGCAUAUAACACAUUUAAAGGAAACACACACUCACACGCUUAGGGACCAAACUAUAUUCACAGGAUUUUUGGCCACAUUACUUUUAGUGAACACUAUAUUGUGAGAAUUUUUCCGUAUGAAUUCUAUUUGAUUUGACAAACCCAGAUUUUCUACACUGCAUUCAGCUUAUCCUCUUUUCUUCUGGGACUUUCUACUCACAGGCCCAAGGGUAAGCAUUAUUCUGCAGUCCCUCUGCCAGAGUACCUACCUUCUCUAUUGUUCUGAACAUUUUUCCAUCAUAGUUGCCCCUCUUAUUUCCCAUUAACUCAUGCUGCAGCUUUCUGCUAGCUACUCUUACCAGGUAUAAGAAACCUUCACCAUCAUGUAAACUCAUAUACAACCUGACUGGUGAUUGGCUCCCAUUCUCUACUCAACAUAUUUCUUCAAUUGGGGUGAGCUAAAUUUGCACAGGAGAGGCUUGACAUGGAAGGUAGAGAGAAUCCCAGAUAGGAUGGAACAGCAACUUCAUCUUGGUAAGUAGGAAUAUGGAGAGUAGGUCCUGUGUCCACAAUAUUAUCCAUUCCAUUAUCUUAGGAUCAGUCGUAGAAACAAGUCCCAUUCAAUUGGAAGAUGCCUGGAAUCACUGUCCUGACCUGGAAAUCUCAGCUACACACAUGAUUAGCAGUCUGUCCCACCGAUACCUAAACUAAAAUGAAGAACCGGCCACCAGAUGAUAUGAAACCUUAUAUCAUGAGCCAAAAUCUAGGAACUGGCCUCAUGUCAUUGAAUUUUUGAACAUCAUUGACCAUGUUAUGUCAGGCUUUUUCUGUAACUUGUGCAAAAUCUAACAAUGGAUAAUGUUCUCCCUCCUCUCCCAACUAAUAUGGUUUACAUUAGCUGUUCAUUUGUUUAACCUAGGGAUAGGAGUCAUCUACAGUGUGAAUUCCAGUUGCUUAGUGGCUGCCUGAAAUGCAUGUCUGAACAUUUGAAGCCAUGUUUUUGCUUAGUGUGUAGUGGUCAUGUGUUGAUAUCUGCCAUUGGUACAGAAAGUAGAAAUGGCAUAGCAUAUGCCAUCUGUCCCUUAUGGGGGCCUUAAAUUUUCCUAUUUACAUUUGGUUCAGACCUUUUGCUUUGCUCAGCUAGUGUAAUUUAUAAGUCAUCUCACAAUCUCAUAUUCUUAUUCUGCAUUAUAUUGCUCUAGCCAUGGACAGGGACCCCUUUUCCUUGACAUACACACAAGCCAUUUGUGUGUAUGUUGGUCACAAUUAAAAGGCUAUAGUGAUGGAAAGAGUACUUUCACAUAAACCAGACAUUUAACUUUGGACACUCCUGUCUUUAAAAGUCUUUCAAAUGAACCCUCUGAUAUUGAAUUGGAAUCUAAUGUAUUAGUAUGAACUCAUAAUUUUUAUUAUUUUAGGGACAGAGUCUCACUGUGUCACCCAGGCUGGAGUGCAAGUGGCAUGAUGAUAGCUCACUGCAGCCUCAAAUUACUGGGCUCAAGCAAGCCUACCACCUCAGCCUCCCAAAUAGCUGGGACUACAGGUGUGUGCCACCAUGCCAGGUGAAUUUUUUGUAUUUUUUUGUAGAGACAGGGUCUCACUAUGUACCUAGGCUGUUCUCAAACUCUUGGCCUUGAGAGAUCCUCCCACUUCAGCCUACCAAAAUUCUCGGAUUACCGGCAUGAGCCACUGUACCUGGCAACUCAUCAUUUUUAAUACAUAUACAUGGUUAGAUACAGAAAUAUAGAAGUGUAUACACACAAGGGUAUGUACACAGGUCAGUGUAUACUAACAGGGGUUAGUAUACAUGCAAAUAUUCCCAGUGAUAGGGCCUAAAAGCAAUGAUACUCCAGUAAUAAUGAGCAUGCCUAGUACCCAGAUUUGAUUUUUAAAUCCAUUCUUAAAUAAAAGGAACCAGGGUUCCUUCAAGAACUUGUUGGUCCUAGGCAGGUCAGGGAAAUUACAAAAUGAGCCUGUAAUAUCUCAUGGUGCCAGAAAGUAAGGAAAUGCUUUAAAAUAAAGUAAGAUUUAUCAAAGGUACAUAGGCAUCAACCUAAAGAAUCUCCAAAAGACCAAAGCUGGAACAAUUUGAACAACAAGCUAAAUAAUAACCAUACUACCCAUAGUGGAUUAUAACCCACGUGGUAAAAUAAAUAUUCCUGUGACCUUAUAUUGAAGUAAUUGAUUAAAUAAAGAAGUAGGGGAGAAGAGACAGCUCUUCCUUGGAGUAGAAUUCUGUGGUGGCUAAAGCAGCUCCAUCUUGGAUGAUGCUCUGCCAUGUUGGCUUCUGAUUAACCCCUGUUCUGGGAAGGCCACCAAGAUUUCUAGUUUAUCUGUUGCUUUUUGUGUAAGAGCAGGCACUUACCUUAAAUCCUGACCUUAGGCUAAACAACCUUGAUGUUAUCAUACUUCAAUUACCCUACACAUCCUUUCUGAACUACCCCUCCUUUAUGGUGUAUAAGACCUGGGUCUUGGGGGUAAUGGCGUGGGGACCUACCGUCUCGUCUUGUGCCCAUCUGAGACACAGACAUGGCUUCUGUUCAUUUAAUGUUUCUAAGAAACUGGAUGUUUUAUUAACUGUUUCUUUCUAAGAAGAAACAGGAUUUGUCAGCAUCUUUGGCCUCUCAGCUUCCUCAGACUUGGGGGCAGGUUUGCCCAGACCUGGCCACUGCAGAAAAAAAUCUAACUAAUAAAGGUAGAAGGAUAGAGAGAAAUAGAAAAUGACCACUAGGCAGACACCACAAUGAUAAUUAUAGCAGAAAGGAUAUAUAGAUGGAUGCUAAAAUCUGUGAGUGAAAGUUUGAGUUGAAACAGACUGCAUAGUCUCAAAGCAUUUUCUCCAGACAUUUAUUAACUAUCCAGAGAAAAAUAAGAACAUUACAAUGGAGAAACUCAGCAAAAACCUCCUUAAUCAAGUGGUAGGUCAACAUCACUAGUAAUACAAGAAUCAUGAAUCGCAUUAUAUGAUGCACACAUACCAUUACAUGAGAACGCAGUGUCAUUUCUGUGGCAUUCUUGUCAAAAAUGCAUAACCUCAGUCCAAUCAGAAGAAAACUUGUCGGGCACGGUUGUGCAUGCCUGUAAUCCAGUACUUUGGGAGGCUGAGGCAGGAGGAUCACUUGAGGCCAGGAAUUUGAGACCAGCCUGGGUAAUGUGGCAAGACCUCAUCUCUACUAAAAAUAAAAAUAAUUAGCAGGGAGUGAUAAUGCAUUCCUGUAGUCCCAGCUACUCAGGAGGCUGAAGUGGGAGGAUCACUUGAGCCCAGGAGUUCCAGGUUACAAUGAACUAUAAUCACAUCACUGCACCCAUCCUGGGUGACAGAGCAAGACCCUGUCUCUAAAAAAUAAAGAAAAGGAAAGAAAAUACAAUUUGAGGGAUGUUCAACAAAAUAACUGAUCAGUACUCUUCAGAUGUAUCAAGGUCGUGAAAGAGCAGGAAGGACUAAGAAGCUGUUACAGUCUACGGAAGACUGAGAAGAAAUAACUAAAUGCAAUGUAGGAUUCUGGAACAGAAAAGGGACACUGGUGGAAAAACCGACAAAAUUCAAAUAAGGGCUUAUAGUAUAAUAAGUAAUAUUAUACCAAUGUGUAUUUCCUGGUUCUAAUAAUAGUACUGUGGUUAUGUAACAUGCUAACAUUUAGGGGAGCUGUGUGCAGGGUGUAUGGAAACCCACUAAACUAUUUUUGCAUCUUUUUCGUAAACUUAAAGAUUGUUCACAGUAAAAAAUUAAAUGAUGUUUUGAAAAUAAAGAGCCCUUCAGCCACCCCAUCUGAAGGGAAUGCCUCCUUCCAAGCCACUGUUUUCUACAGGUUCAGGCUCCAGCCGUGAUAUGCAAGCCCAUCUCACUCCACACCUCUCAUCCUCCAGCCUUCCCUAGGGUCAUCCUUCUCAAUUUAUUAUGCAGAAUGACUUGUCUCUCCACCACUAACUAACAAAGGCCAACCUUUGUACAUCAAAAACUCAUUAAUAUGUUGAAACACGGGAUGGUGUAGUCCAGGUCUUUCCUUUAGCAGCCCAGAGGAACCAGCAGAGGCUUCAUAAUUUUAGGCUUUCCUUUCUCCAUUUCCCAGGCCCUGAGAAGAGAAGAUCAGAAUAAAGAUUGGUUUCCUCAUUGAUGUGAAUUUUGUCACAACCUCCAUCUUUGGAAUUCAGAUGUUACUAUGGUCAGUUUGGGUUUAAAUAACACUUCUGUUUUCUCUAUGUUACACUCCUAAGGUUGUUAGGAUCCUAUGAGCCUAUUUAAUUGUUUUCUUUAAAUGAUGGCAUAUCUAAAAAUUAUCUUUAUACUUUGAGAAUAUUGUUGGAUUAUCUUAAAAACCUCCAUUCCUUUGUUAAGUAAUCCAUUUUUGUUUUACUUUGUUUUCUUUUCAGAAGUAUUAAGAUAUUUCUCUUUAGUUUUCUGAAACUUUACCAUGAACUGUCAAGGUAUGAUCUGGAGUCUUUCAGUUUGUGUUUGUAUUUAUUUUAAAUAGCUCAUGGGCCCUUUCACUGGCAGUUUUAUUUCUUUGAUUGAUAAUAAGAUAUUUUAAGGCUGGGCACAGUGGCUCACACCUGUAAUCCCAGCACUUUGGGAGGCCGAGGCGGGCGGAUCAUGCGGUCAGGAGUUGGUGACCAGCCUGGCCAACGUGGUGAAACCCUGUCUCUACUAAAAAUAUAAAAAUUAGCUGGGCAUGGUGGUGCAUGCCUAUAAUUCCAGCUACUGGGGAGCGGGUCAGAAGAAUGGCUUGAACCCAGGAGGCGGAGGUUGCAGUGAGCCGAGAUUGUGCCACUGCACUCCAGCCUGGGUGACAAGUAAGACUCUGUAUCAAAAAAAAAUAAAAGUAUUUUAUUCUGUUA